RNAcentral lists this ribosomal RNA (381 nucleotides) under uncultured Corynebacterium sp. RNAcentral describes it as "bacterial SSU rRNA". It matches the Rfam family "Bacterial small subunit ribosomal RNA", at positions 69 to 452 of the family's 1533-position model. The record is from RNAcentral. Lineage: Bacteria; Bacillati; Actinomycetota; Actinomycetes; Mycobacteriales; Corynebacteriaceae.
AAGGCCUCUGCUUGCAGGGGUACUCGAGUGGCGAACGGGUGAGUAACACGUGGGUGAUCUGCCCUGCACUUUGGGAUAAGCCUGGGAAACUGGGUCUAAUACCAGAUAGGACCACGUCUUGGAUGGUGUGGUGGAAAGUUUUUUCGGUGUGGGAUGAGCUCGCGGCCUAUCAGCUUGUUGGUGGGGUAAUGGCCUACCAAGGCGUCGACGGGUAGCCGGCCUGAGAGGGUGUACGGCCACAUUGGGACUGAGAUACGGCCCAGACUCCUACGGGAGGCAGCAGUGGGGAAUAUUGCACAAUGGGCGCAAGCCUGAUGCAGCGACGCCGCGUGGGGGAUGACGGCCUUCGGGUUGUAAACUCCUUUCGCCAGGGACGAAGCG